AACUCAUCCGGGCCUUCAGAGACUCCAUCAGCCUCUUAAGUUAUUUUUGAUCAAUUGCUGCUUCCAUUCUCUCAGAUGCUGGACUGUAAAGGUGGACAGGAGGACCCCUGAAAGGAGAAAAUCAUGAUGAAGGAGGAAGGAGACUGGAACUGUGGACCCAGCUCAGCAAUACAACCUGAAGAGAAAGAUUCUUCAUAUAAGUGAUAUACUGCUACUGCUGCUAAGUCACUUCAGUCGUGUCCGACUCUGUGUGACCCCAUAGACGGCAGCCCACCAGGCCCCGCUGUCCCUGGGAUUCUCCAGAUCACUCAUUCUGGGACAAGCCAGCUGCCCUAUCUUGAGCAUCCAGAUGGAAAGGCUCACAUGGUGAAAAAUGGAGGCUUCACGCUAACAGCCAUCUAAGUGAACUUGAAAGUAUUAUAUUCUCCAGUUCCGAUCAAGUCUUCAGAUGAUGGCACCCCAGAAAGUUGCUUCAUUGCAAUCGAGAACCUGAGCAGAAAAGUACCGAGUUAAACCACUCCCAGUGGGUUCAAUCCCUGGGUCAGGAAGAUCCCCUGGAGAUGUGUAUGGCAACCCACUCCAGUAUUCUUGCCUGGAGAAUCCCAUGGACAGAGGAGCCUGGAGGGCUGCAGUCCAUGAGGUGACAAAGAGUUGGACUCAACCGAUUUGACUUGGCAUACACACAAGCCACUCCCAGAUUCCUAACAUUCAGAAACUGAAAUAAUCAAUGUUUGUUUGUUUUCUUUGAUGCUAAGUGUGGAGGUAAAUUGUUAACAGAACAACAGAUCACCAGCACACACACACACACACACACCCUCCUCUCUCCACUCCUUUUAUUUUUUGACCAUGGACAUGUGGCUUGUGGGAACUAAGAUUCCCAAUCAAGAGCACGGCAGUGAAAGCACCAAGUCCUAACAAUUGGAUCACCAGAGCACAGCCUCAGCUUCUUUUCUUUCUCUCCAGGAAGGAGGGAAUCUUUUCUACUCUUUAGGGAAAAUCAACUGCCCAGAGACAAUGCUUCUCUUCCUAUCGGAUUCAGAUGUAUUGAUUGACUGGCAUAAUCUUCUUAAUGGGUUUGUGUGCGUGCAUGCUUAGUUGCUUCAGUCAUGGCCAGCUCUUUUCCACCCUACAGACUGUAUCCUGCCAGGCUCCUCUGUCCAUGGGAUUCUCCAGGCAAGAAUACUGGAGUGGGUUGCCAUACCCACCUCCAGGGGACCUUCCCCACUCAGGGAUCAAAC
This is a long non-coding RNA of Bos taurus (domestic cattle), 1238 nucleotides long. NCBI's taxonomy places the organism in Eukaryota, Metazoa, Chordata, Mammalia, Artiodactyla, Bovidae. The record is from Ensembl.